AUAUUCAUAAAACAAAAGCUGGUCAACUCAACUCACAGAUCUACUCCUUCCUUCCCCCAAAACACACACACACACACAGAGUAGAGAAUCAAUGGCCGCUUCAUCUUCCAGUUGCUUCUCCCUUCUUCUCGUCAAGUCUCAGAGCUCAAACAACACAAAAAUGGCGGAGAUUGCUCAUUAUUUCUCCGCAACAACACUAAUUUGCGGCGGCUACUUCACACAGCCGCCCCAACAAAAACAGGCUCCAAUCGAUCAAACAAGGAUUUAGUUGUGAGGAACGCAGCUCCGGAAGCAGCUGCUACUGUUGAUCUUCUCUCUUCUUUCUCUCUCCCCUCCAUUCCCGGAAUUUCUGAUAGUCCUUUGAUAGCUCUGAUCGCGGGAUUGACGGUGGGAUUACCUUUCGUAAUCCAACGGCUAUUAACAUUGACAAAGGAGAUUGAUAUGGCGGCAGAGACGGUGGAGAAAAUAGCGGAUGCGGUGGGGAAAGUGGCGGAUGAAGUCGAUAAAGCGGCGGAAGGUAUAGCGGAGUCGCUACCGGAAGGCGGACUUAAGAAAAUGGUUCAUGUUAUUGAGGAUUUGGCUGAAGAAACUGCAAAGGAUGCUCAGAAAGUUGAAGAUCUCAUGGAUAAGGUGGAAGAAUUGGACGACAAGCUGGAAGCAUUUUUGGAGAAGCAAUCAAAAGGUCCUGGAAAAGCGUGAAAAAAGUGGAAAACAAUUCAUUAUUGAAAGAGAGGGGUGCUACAUGAUAUUAAAGUGUUAUCUGCUGCUGAUAAAAAGUGAAGAUAAUAUUCCAUAGGAUUAAUUAAAACAUAUGCUUAAUUAGAGAUUAAAUCCCUUUUGUCUUAUUGCAGCAUGUAAUAACUCUCAUACUUUCAAAUCUCAUUGUUUGUUGGUAAUUAAAUUAAAAUUCCACGCUGAAUUAAUAAUGCCUUUCAAACAAUAGCUGGAAGGGGAAAUUAGCUCA
Non-coding RNA from Erythranthe guttata (spotted monkey flower), 964 nucleotides. The record is from RefSeq and is a predicted model, not a curated record. Lineage: Eukaryota; Viridiplantae; Streptophyta; Magnoliopsida; Lamiales; Phrymaceae.